GGCUCCAUAGUUCAGUUGUUAGAGCACUGGUCCGAUAAACCAGGGGUUGAGAGUUCCAUCUUCACUGGGGGCU
This 73-nucleotide transfer RNA is filed under the name Otolemur garnettii (small-eared galago). It matches the Rfam family "tRNA". From Rfam's summary of the family: Transfer RNA (tRNA) molecules are approximately 80 nucleotides in length. Their secondary structure includes four short double-helical elements and three loops (D, anti-codon, and T loops). Further hydrogen bonds mediate the characteristic L-shaped molecular structure. tRNAs have two regions of fundamental functional importance: the anti-codon, which is responsible for specific mRNA codon recognition, and the 3' end, to which the tRNAs corresponding amino acid is attached (by aminoacyl-tRNA synthetases). tRNAs cope with the degeneracy of the genetic code in two manners: having more than one tRNA (with a specific anti-codon) for a particular amino acid; and 'wobble' base-pairing, i.e. permitting non-standard base-pairing at the 3rd anti-codon position. Lineage: Eukaryota; Metazoa; Chordata; Mammalia; Primates; Galagidae. The record is from Rfam by way of RNAcentral.